CACGUGGUUAUGGAUGACCAAUGGAAGAGAUUCUAGCAUUUGAAAGCGCUGGAAGCGAUGGGAUUGUGAUGUACAAUAAAAGCAGUAAGAGAAGUGUAUUUAUCGACACAUUCUUUUAGCAUAUCUCCAGUUGUGUCCAGGACUGCAAACAGACGAGGUCCACGAUGAAGGUAGCUACCAUAAGCCUGUUGUCUAUUGUGUGCCUUCUGGGAGCAUUCCUUGGUAUCGAAGCGAACGGUUAUGGCGGUGGCUAUUCGUACGUUCCCGUUAGUCCAGGUUACAAUGGCGGUGGCGGUGGCGGGUUCGGCAAUGGAGGAUUCCUUGCUCUGAUUGGCUUCCUGUUCAUAUUUUUGCUGUUGUUUAGCGGGAAUGGAUUUUUCAAUUCAAGCACAUCCAGUCAAGUCAGUAUCAUACAAGGAUAGAAAAACGGUACAAAUUUUGAAAAGCAAGAUGUUUAACAUUGCCACACGACACGAGAACGCAACAAAUAUCAUCAUCACUAGCUGAGGGGACGCUUCCAUAUUUCUUGUACAGCUUUUCUUUUAUUUUGAAAUAAAUGUUAUUUCUGUUGAA
This is a long non-coding RNA of Ruditapes philippinarum (Manila clam), 573 nucleotides long. RefSeq lists it as uncharacterized. The record is from RefSeq and is a predicted model, not a curated record. The transcript is spliced from 4 exons. NCBI's taxonomy places the organism in Eukaryota, Metazoa, Mollusca, Bivalvia, Venerida, Veneridae.